AUUGAACGCUGGCGGCAUGCUUUACACAUGCAAGUCGAACGGCAGCGCGGGCUUCGGCCUGGCGGCGCGUGGCGAACGGGUGAGUAAUGCAUCGGAACGUGCCCAGUAGUGGGGGAUAGCCCGGCGAAAGCCGGAUUAAUACCGCAUACGACCUGAGGGUGAAAGCGGGGGACCGAAAGGCCUCGCGCUAUUGGAGCGGCCGAUGUCGGAUUAGCUAGUUGGUUGGGUAACGGCUUACCAAGGCGACGAUCCGUAGCUGGUCUGAGAGGACGACCAGCCACACUGGAACUGAGACACGGCCUAGACUCCUACGGGAGGCAGCAGUGGGGAAUUUUGGACAAUGGGGGCAACCCUGAUCCAGCCAUGCCGCGUGCGGGAAGAAGGCCUUCGGGUUGUAAACCGCUUUUGUUCGGGAAGAAAUCCUCUGGGCUAAUACCCCGGGGGGAUGACGGUACCGGAAGAAUAAGCACCGGCUAACUACGUG
Molecule: ribosomal RNA, 484 nt
Filed under: uncultured bacterium
Lineage: Bacteria
Description: partial 16S ribosomal RNA
Rfam family: Bacterial small subunit ribosomal RNA
Source: RNAcentral